UGGGGAAUAUUGGACAAUGGGCGAAAGCCUGAUCCAGCCAUGCCGCGUGUGUGAAGAAGGUCUUCGGAUUGUAAAGCACUUUGAGUUGGGAGGAAGGGCAGUAAGCGAAUACCUUGCUGUUUUGACGUUACCGACAGAAUAAGCACCGGCUAACUCUGUGCCAGCAGCCGCGGUAAUACAGAGGGUGCAAGCGUUAAUCGGAAUUACUGGGCGUAAAGCGCGCGUAGGUGGUUCGUUAAGUUGAAUGUGAAAGCCCCGGGCUCAACCUGGGAACUGCAUCCAAAACUGGCGAGCUAGAGUAGGGCAGAGGGUGGUGGAAUUUCCUGUGUAGCGGUGAAAUGCGUAGAUAUAGGAAGGAACACCAGUGGCGAAGGCGACCACCUGGGCUCAUACUGACACUGAGGUGCGAAAGCGUGGGGAGCAAACAGG
RNAcentral lists this ribosomal RNA (429 nucleotides) under Pseudomonadota bacterium. RNAcentral describes it as "Proteobacteria bacterium partial 16S ribosomal RNA". It matches the Rfam family "Bacterial small subunit ribosomal RNA", at positions 355 to 776 of the family's 1533-position model. Lineage: Bacteria; Pseudomonadati; Pseudomonadota. The record is from RNAcentral.